AGUUGAUAAAGCCACAGUCGUCGCGAGGCGGUGUCGGAAAACCACGGGUCUCUGAUGGGAGAGAUAGCCGGGUUACCUGC
This 80-nucleotide non-coding RNA is filed under the name Candidatus Electrothrix aarhusensis. Its description in RNAcentral is "c-di-GMP-I riboswitch aptamer". It matches the Rfam family "c-di-GMP-I riboswitch aptamer". From Rfam's summary of the family: GEMM was predicted in a large-scale screen for bacterial structured RNA regulatory elements. The record is from Rfam by way of RNAcentral. Lineage: Bacteria; Pseudomonadati; Thermodesulfobacteriota; Desulfobulbia; Desulfobulbales; Desulfobulbaceae.